Non-coding RNA from Meleagris gallopavo (turkey), 1461 nucleotides. The record is from RefSeq and is a predicted model, not a curated record. NCBI's taxonomy places the organism in Eukaryota, Metazoa, Chordata, Aves, Galliformes, Phasianidae.
GUUUCUGACUUCUUCCUUUUUCUGUCUCAGUUUUACAGAAAAGCAGACAUGAAACACUGACAGCAUUUGGAAAUAAACUUUGGCAGUAAGAUGGAAGCAUAAAUCUCAAGACUUUAAACCAAAACAGAAAUGGCUUGUGAUUGUUGAAACAAGACACCUAAGAGCCUCCAACACUUCUGUGUGAGCAGUAGAAAAGGAACAACUACAAUGGUAACACUAAUAACAGAAAAGCUGCAGAACCAGAGCUUGGAUGAUCUGACGUGUAAAACGUACAAUAUUAAUCUGUACUCAUCUGAGAAGUUGAACAAAAGUGGCAGCUUGUUCUCUUUCGAAAUCAACGGUAAGUUCUUCAGAAGCCUUAGCUGUGUUUUUUACUGAGGUAAUUGGUAUAGCAAGCAGCCUUUCUUUUGUAAAUAAGGUGAGGGGGAUGGAGCAUGCAGUUGCAGAGCCUGCUGGUUUAAGCUGGUCUAUGAACAAUACUGGGAAUAGCUGGUUGUUAGUUUUGUACGUGUGAUCUGCUUUGCAUAGUAAAAGCCCUGGUAACACUUCUUAUGUUAUCUGCUACGGUGUACAGAAGCUCAGCAAUGCUGGUUUUCAUACUGCCCAUCUCCUCUGCUACAGGAAAUCUCUAACCUCUUUACACACCUUCUUGCAGGCUUUGCCACACAGAAUAUACAGUGCGAUGCAAACCAUAAGUCAUGUCCAGAGCUUUGAGUGCAUUAGCUUCCCCCUCCCUAAUCAAUAUUCCCUUAAUCCUGUUAAGAGUAAACUUUAUCACCAAAACUCAAAAGCACGCUAACUGAUACAGAAGUGUCAUGCUGCUUUAUUAAGGGAUGGAUUUGUGUGUUCUGUUGUUUUAAAGCAUGGGCAGUUCUUGCUCAGUGCGACUCCCUUUAAAGCAUGGUGCAUGGUUUGUAUGAGGUUCCAAAGGGAAAGAAUACUUUAUCUCAGUAUUUUUUGAUAGCAUGUGAAAAGCACAUGUGCAACUUCUGACUUUUUUUUUUUUCCUACAGUGAACUUUAAACCAUCUUCCAUCCUAGGAGUAGGCUUCCUAAGGAUUUUUUUUUUUUAAAUCAAGCCAGACGAAGCUGAAAAUUUGUCCUACAAUAGAUGCAAGGAGUUUCGAACAGUAUCUGGAUCCCAUUGUGCUGGCUAUUUUACUUGCAUUGAAUUAUGGAUGGUCUCUGCCUUGAAGAGCUUACGUGCUUAAGGCAAAGCACAGUAUGUGGUUGUACCCAUUUGAAAGAAUGGAGGAGGAAGGACAGAGGAAUUCUAAUAAAACAUGUUGUCUGAAUAGGCCAGCUGUCUGCACAGUUAAAUGAUUUUGAGACAAUAGGGUGUUCUUUAAAUAAGAUCCAAAUAAGCAGGAUAAUCCAUGACAUAGUUUGGGCAUGGAACAUGUACAAGUAUUUGGAUUUGUAAUUUUUAAAGCUACUCUGCAAAACUUUUAUCUGUUGAUUU